UAAUUGAUUUCUAAGGGCCUUUCCAGC
This 27-nucleotide non-coding RNA is filed under the name Rattus norvegicus (Norway rat). Lineage: Eukaryota; Metazoa; Chordata; Mammalia; Rodentia; Muridae. The record is from RNAcentral.